GGCAUCGAAAAAUUAAUGAAUAAGUUUUUCAGCGAUAAAGAGAGAAAUCUGUCAAGUACCAAAUUUAGAAAAGAUUGGCUUAACUUUGAGAAAAGCUGAAAAAAGUAUCUAGCAAUGAUCCAAAAUGGUAGACUAUCUGUGGUAGGAUUUAUUUUUAAAGAUGUCUGAAUCCUGGGGGUAAACAUAAUUUUUCCUUGACACCCAAAAGUUCAGAAGUAAUGAGUUGAAACAUGAAGUGCUUUAUAAAUGGCCACAUGGUGGCACUGUGCACACCUAAAUCUAGCAAACACUGUCCCUUUGCUUUCCACCAGAUUUAUUUGAAAUCUGUUUUUGAAUCUCCAGCUGACUGACAGCAAAGCAACAAAAGAAGCACAGGGGACUGAAACAUAGCGCAUGUAUCAACAGUGACACAGCCACAGAUGUACUCUGACAGAGAUGGAUGAAUACACCGUGCUCACAGACAAACAUGUAGAAGCUCUGGCUUUGAAAUAAACACUGACCUGGAACUUCGGUCCCAUUGAGUCCUGUUUUAUAAAGACAAUUUAAAAAACAUAAAAGUGGGAAGAGAACACAGCUGAGACAACAGUGAGACGACUAAAUAGAGAUUUAAGACGGCAAAGUUCCUUCCAUCAGAACACAUUUUCACUAAUAUCACUUCCAAAACAUUCCUAAAUAUAUUAGUACUGCUAUCACUCUGUAGCAUGAAUGACCAAAAUACCUGGUUUUGCUCCAAUGAUGGGGAUUCCUGUUCCACUCAGACCCUCUCCAUCACCACCUGUUCCCACUGGUCUCCCAGCUACACCAGUUCCUCCUGUUUUAUAGUAUUGAUAUAAUAGCAUUUUCACAUGUGUAUGCUAUUUUUUAGAAUGAUAUACAGAGCUAUAUCGAAGCUAUGAUGUUGGUGUUGUUAUGUCCUUCAUGUUCACAGGGGAGCUUCUAUGAUAACAAUCGGAUCAUUACACCUGACCUAAAUGUUAAUUGUCAUCUCCGCACAAAAUCUGUGCAUGAUUUCAAGAAGCUUACCUCUGGGUCCAGCUGUUGACCCUGCACCGCUGCCAGUGCCAUUCACCGAAACACCGGUGCCUGUCCCUGCUCCUGCUCCUCCCGUGCUGGUCCCUGCCCCUGCCCCAGUUCCUAGUGUUCCUCCAGUCCCAGGGCCGUAGCCACCUGCUGCUGGGCCACCGAAUCUUCCAUUUAGACCAGAUCCUGGAGCUCCGCCACCACCAGGGAGCCCUAAGGAAGCAAAAAGCACUGCCUGGUCCAAAGCCACUCGGUCCACCUCCCGUUCCAACACCAGAACCAGGUAUCACACCAGUCCCCAA
This is a long non-coding RNA of Seriola aureovittata, 1322 nucleotides long. RefSeq lists it as uncharacterized. The record is from RefSeq and is a predicted model, not a curated record. NCBI's taxonomy places the organism in Eukaryota, Metazoa, Chordata, Actinopteri, Carangiformes, Carangidae. The transcript is spliced from 4 exons.